GGGGUUGGGGAUUUAGCUCAGUGGUAGAGCGCUUGCCUAGGAAGCGCAAGGCCCUGGGUUCAGUCCCCAGCUCCG
This 75-nucleotide transfer RNA is filed under the name Rattus norvegicus (Norway rat). The stretch from base 7 to 69 matches the Rfam family "tRNA". From Rfam's summary of the family: Transfer RNA (tRNA) molecules are approximately 80 nucleotides in length. Their secondary structure includes four short double-helical elements and three loops (D, anti-codon, and T loops). Further hydrogen bonds mediate the characteristic L-shaped molecular structure. tRNAs have two regions of fundamental functional importance: the anti-codon, which is responsible for specific mRNA codon recognition, and the 3' end, to which the tRNAs corresponding amino acid is attached (by aminoacyl-tRNA synthetases). tRNAs cope with the degeneracy of the genetic code in two manners: having more than one tRNA (with a specific anti-codon) for a particular amino acid; and 'wobble' base-pairing, i.e. permitting non-standard base-pairing at the 3rd anti-codon position. The record is from RNAcentral. Lineage: Eukaryota; Metazoa; Chordata; Mammalia; Rodentia; Muridae.